GAAAAUUUAGUUACAGAUUAAUAAUAUAGAGUUGUCAACCCUAAGUUGCCAUAAGCAAUUUUCA
This 64-nucleotide transfer RNA is filed under the name Glyptonotus cf. antarcticus FK-2009. Its description in RNAcentral is "tRNA-Asp". The record is from RNAcentral. Lineage: Eukaryota; Metazoa; Arthropoda; Malacostraca; Isopoda; Chaetiliidae.